This is a long non-coding RNA of Canis lupus familiaris (dog), 2009 nucleotides long. RefSeq lists it as uncharacterized. Lineage: Eukaryota; Metazoa; Chordata; Mammalia; Carnivora; Canidae. The record is from RefSeq and is a predicted model, not a curated record. The transcript has 3 exons.
GUAUUAUUGGAGACAUCAAAUUCCACACAAGGAGGGAACAUGUCUUUGCUUGCCAAAGAUCAAGAUGCCUGCAGCCUCUGCUCCGUCAUCAUUUCAGGGGGGUCCCUACCAGGGCACUCAGGGAGUGAUGGAGCUUCACGCCACGGCAAAGCGACAGUGAGCUUUUAGGGAUUGUCGUCCUAUUAUAGUCGAGGAGCUGAGGCUCAGACCCGUUGGAAGUGAGGACCAUGGAGUUAAAUGACGGGUGGUUUCCUGAGCUCACUUUCCCGUGCCUCUGCGGUGCUCAUUCUGUUCCCUGUGCCUGGAAUGCCUCUUUAUCUCCGAGUCCUGCCUACCCUUCAAGAUUCAGCUCAAGCCCCACCUUCUCCAGGAAGACUUCCCUGACCACCUGGCCCACAGGGUUGGUCUCCCCCCCUGCAUCUGGGUGCUCACUGGGCCAGGAGCACGCAGACCUGUGAAAUGUGAAUCUUUUACACCGACAUAGAAGUCCUUUUCUGGAAACUAGACUGUAAGCUCCUCGGGACUGGUGUCCUGCCCUGAGUCUCUUUGUAUUUUUUCUUCUCACUUUUGACUAUGGAUUACUGAUUUUUUUUUUUAAGAUUUUAUUUAUCCAUGAGAAACAGAGAGAGAGGCAGAGAUAUAGGCUGAGGGAGAAGCAAGCUCUGUAAGGGGAGCCUGAUGCAGGACUUGAUCCCAGGACCCCGGGAUCACAGCCUGAGCUGAAGGCAGAUGCUCAACCACUGAGCCACCCAGGUGUCCUGGAUUAUUGAAUUUUUACAAGCUUACACACUCAUGCUCACUGAGGUCUGGAGCCCUGGAAUGACAUUCUGUUUUUGCUGUUUUGGUUACAGCAUCUUAUCCCACUGCCCGGCUCUAGUAGACAUGUAUUCAGUCAGUUUUUCUUCCAUUAAACAGACAUGUGCUCAAGACCCACCAGGUGCAGACUCUAGGUGACUAGAGAUGAAGGAACCAGGUUCAUGGGGGGAACGGGGUGUGUAGCAGGGAAAACCAGAUAUGAACACAAGUAACUCCAGCCUGCUAGGUGGUGGGAUGGAGGUAGGUGUUCGGGAAUAGCACAAGCUGCCUGAGGGAUGUGACCUGCCUCUAGAGUCAGUGUGAAUGCGUUAUCAGAAAAGUGGAGAAGGAUGCUUGCUUGGGUACAGGGGACAAACAGCAGGCUUCGAGGAGCUUAAUAGGAUUGGGGGAUGAUUAGCCGGAGGAUGUGGCCAGAGAAGGAACUGGCUGGAGAGAGCCAGGAGAGGAAGGCCUUGAGGAAGCUCCCCUAACUCGGUGUUGGGCCAGUUUUCAGGAUUUUUGGCAGGGUGUGUAAUCUGUCGAUCUGAGAUGAUAGACAGGGAAGCCUCUGUGGGUGACAGUGACCUAAAUGUCAGUGAAUCGGGGGGCUGGUGAAAUACCCGCCAGGCAAUGACCGAGGUGUGUAAUAUGGCCAACCCCAAAUGGUCUGGAUUUGCAAGGGCUAUUUCUGUCCUGUCUGGGAGCGAGCCUGAAUCUCUGUGCCACUUCCCUCCUCCCGGGAAGCUGUCUGUCCUGUGAGCUGGCAAGUCCCAUGUUUUUGUGCCUGAAAAACCCUGCUCUCGUCCACCACAGGCGGCUCAUAGCUUUCAGCAGAGGAUUACUUAGAAUAACAAGUUAAUGACUGUCCUUAGAUCAGGCGAGGCUUGCUGGAAGAAGCAGGCAUGCCCAGAGUUCAUUUCACUCCAGUCUGGUGGGGGUGGGCUGAGAAAACACGUUGCAAAUUCCAUUCUAGGAAAAAAAAAAAAAAGAAAAGAAUUCUUCACCCAGUCAAAGCGGCAAUUUAGAAGGAGCGUGUGGGAACGGGGCGUCAUUUAAAAAUAUAAAAGCAACUGUAACCCUCUUCUGAGUGUGGCAGGGCAAGGGAGGCAGACCUACCUGGGGAGAUGGGGAGUGGGCUCUCGGCCGUGCUGUUCUUGGGGUCAACUGAUGCGGCCCCCACCUCCCGCAGGAAACAGCUGGGGGCUCGCGUGUGA